AGCACAGAUGAAGCAAAGUGUGCCUUG
Molecule: non-coding RNA, 27 nt
Filed under: Homo sapiens (human)
Lineage: Eukaryota; Metazoa; Chordata; Mammalia; Primates; Hominidae
Source: RNAcentral